AUUGAACGCUGGCGGCAUGUCUUACACAUGCAAGUCGAACGGCAGCACGGGAGCAAUCCUGGUGGCGAGUGGCGAACGGGUGAGUAAUAUAUCGGAACGUGCCCGGUCGUGGGGAUAACGUAGCGAAAGCUACGCUAAUACCGCAUACGAUCUACGGAUGAAAGCGGGGGAUCGCAAGACCUCGCGCGAUUGGAGCGGCCGAUAUCAGAUUAGGUAGUUGGUGAGGUAAAGGCUCACCAAGCCGACGAUCUGUAGCUGGUCUGAGAGGACGACCAGCCACACUGGGACUGAGACACGGCCCAGACUCCUACGGGAGGCAGCAGUGGGGAAUUUUGGACAAUGGGCGCAAGCCUGAUCCAGCAAUGCCGCGUGCAGGAUGAAGG
RNAcentral lists this ribosomal RNA (383 nucleotides) under uncultured bacterium. RNAcentral describes it as "bacterial SSU rRNA". It matches the Rfam family "Bacterial small subunit ribosomal RNA", at positions 30 to 414 of the family's 1533-position model. The record is from RNAcentral.